RNAcentral lists this ribosomal RNA (403 nucleotides) under uncultured bacterium. RNAcentral describes it as "partial 16S ribosomal RNA". It matches the Rfam family "Bacterial small subunit ribosomal RNA", at positions 28 to 526 of the family's 1533-position model. The record is from RNAcentral.
GACGAACGCUGGCGGCGUGCCUAAUACAUGCAAGUCGAACGCAGUGGUGACGGGUGAGUAACACGUGGGUAACCUCCCAUCAGAGGGCAUAACACUUGGAAACAGGUGCUCAACCGAUACUGCUGGAUGGAUCGUCGGUGCAUUAGCUAGUUGGUGAGGUAACGGCGCACCAAGGCCACGAUGCAUCGCCGACCUGAGAGGAUGAUCGGCCACACUGGGACUGAGACACGGCCCAGACUCCUACGGGAGGCAGCAGUGGGGAAUAGUCGGCAAUGGACGAAAGUCGGACCGAGCAACGCCGCGUGAGUGAAGAAGGUUUUCGGAUCGUAAAACUCUGUUAUUAGAGAGGCGGUAUCUAACCAGAAAGCCACGGCUAACUACGUGCCAGCAGCCGCGGUAAUAC